CGGAUUCUGGCUCAGAUUGAACGCUGGCGGCGUGCUUAACACAUGCAAGUCGCGCGUGAAAGGACUUCGGUCCGAGUAAAGCGGCGCACGGGUGAGUAACGCGUGGAUGAUCUACCCAUGAGUUAGGAAUAACGGCUGGAAACGGUCGCUAAUACCAAAUACGCUCCGAUUUCAACUUCGGGGGAAAGGUGGCCUCUGCUUGCAAGCUACUGCUCAUGGAUGAGUCCGCGUCCCAUUAGCUAGUUGGUGGGGUAACGGCCCACCAAGGCGACGAUGGGUAGCCGGUCUGAGAGGAUGACCGGCCACACUGGGACUGGAACACGGCCCAGACUCCUACGGGAGGCAGCAGUGGGGAAUAUUGCGCAAUGGGCGAAAGCCUGACGCAGCGACGCCGCGUGAGGGAUGAAAGGUCCUCGGAUCGUAGACCUCUGUCAGGAGGGAAGAACCGCCACGGUGCUAAUCAGCCGUGGUCUGACGGUACCUCCAAAGGAAGCACCGGCUAACUCCGUGCCAGCAGCCGC
This 521-nucleotide ribosomal RNA is filed under the name uncultured bacterium. Its description in RNAcentral is "bacterial SSU rRNA". It matches the Rfam family "Bacterial small subunit ribosomal RNA", at positions 13 to 518 of the family's 1533-position model. The record is from RNAcentral.